CCUACGGGAGGCUGCAGUGGGGAAUAUUGGACAAUGGGGGGAACCCUGAUCCAGCCAUGCCGCGUGUGUGAAGAAGGCCCUCGGGUUGUAAAGCACUUUCAGUGAGGAAGAACGCCUGGUGGUUAAUACCCAUCAGGAAAGACAUCACUCACAGAAGAAGCACUGGCUAACUCCGUGCCAGCAGCCGCGGUAAUACGGAGGGUGCGAGCGUUAAUCGGAAUUACUGGGCGUAAAGCGCGCGUAGGUGGCUUGAUAAGCCGGUUGUGAAAGCCCCGGGCUCAACCUGGGAACGGCAUCCGGAACUGUCAAGCUAGAGGGCAGGAGAGGAAGGUAGAAUUCCCGGUGUAGCGGUGAAAUGCGUAGAGAUCGGGAGGAAUACCAGUGGCGAAGGCGGCCUUCUGGACUGACACUGACACUGAGGUGCGAAAGCGUGGGUAGCAAACAGGAUUAGAUACCCCAGUAGUC
RNAcentral lists this ribosomal RNA (465 nucleotides) under Vreelandella stevensii. RNAcentral's name for it is "partial 16S ribosomal RNA". It matches the Rfam family "Bacterial small subunit ribosomal RNA", at positions 338 to 795 of the family's 1533-position model. The record is from RNAcentral. Lineage: Bacteria; Pseudomonadati; Pseudomonadota; Gammaproteobacteria; Oceanospirillales; Halomonadaceae.